GCUUACCAACAGUUAGGGGGGGCACAGAGCUCUGAUUUGUAGCUUCUGCCUACUUUUGUGGUAUAAAUACUUAAUCAUGGCUGAUAUUAACUACCAAUGUGAUAUCGCUGCCCAUUGAGCUGGGAGAAGGUGCAGGCAGCUGCCUCCCAGGGACUGGUGCCGGCUGGCUCCCAUCCCCCACUGCGUGCGCCAAAGACCUCAGGGGACACGUGGGGCAGCGGACACAGGUGCAGGUAGUAUUCCAGGAGGAAUUUCAGUCCCUCAUUCUUUGUGAAGUCCACGUGACCAUGAAAAUCAGGAGGCUGUUUCUCCGUGGGCAGAUCUGAGGAUCAAGGAUCCUGUUAAUUCUGGAUUUGGAAAGAUAGACCUGGGAAAAAGACAGGCACUCACCACUUCAUUAUCUCUGAGAAAAGGCCACAGGAUUCUUGUCCUUCGGGUUCCAGCAGCAUUUAUGGCCGGUUCUCUUCAUCUGUUUCUGAAGUGAAGACUUGCAGACCCACCAAACCAGACCAGGCUGCUGGCAGAAAGAUGCUCGCGGCCGGUGUUGAUGCAUGGAAGAUGAGAAGACCCCGUGACUCAUUUCGGGAGGUAAUAUGGAUUCCUGAAAGCACUGAGAGAAUGAAGACUUUUUUGUGAAGUCCAUUUAUAAGAUACACAAGGAGGAUUCGUCACAGAAACUUCAGUCAAUCCUUUAAAAAACAGCCUUUAACAACUCCCUUGAGUUAAGCAGAAUUCCAACACCUCACACUAAAUUGAUUUCUCAGUCCAUGAAAGGGUCACGACUAAUUGAGUGAAAAGCCCAUGUUGUGAGUUGCACAGAACAGCAUAUCCACAGAAGCCAUCAUCGGGGCCCUCAGUAGCCACAAUCCAGGGCCUGGAAGUUGCACAUGGAAUCUUUUUCCCAAGAAGAACUUCAAAGUAGAGGUUUGACUUCCGGUCAACCUCUGUCCUUACAGCCUGCAGGUAACUCCCACUGUGAUGGGUUUGGGAUUGCCCAGAACUUGAGUCUGGAAGGCCAGGAUUGGAAUCCCAUUCGGAGGAGGUACAGAAGUUUCCCGAGUACCAUUCAAGUUCAGUGGUGCUCAGCCGGAGAGAGGGCGGCAUCCCUCCCCAGCUUCCCAGGACCCCUUGGCCGCUCACACAAAGAGAACCCCGCUUUGCUUGUUUGGGCCUUUGCUCCUUCCUAUUUGAUUGAAUUUGAAGAGGAACUGUUUGCCUCUGGCCGCCCAUCCUGAAUCAUAAUCAGGAUGCUGCUGGCACAGAAAGCCUGCUCCCACCCUCGCCUGAAAUAACUGAAGAGGGAAGUUGAGUUCCUCCCCACUCCAACCUGAAAGAAAGCGGCUCGUAACUUAUGACGUGCUGGCAAUACAUCAAAAGUCGAUCCAGUCACUUACAGUAAAAUCAAGGGGGGGCAGAACAAUGCAUAGAAAGUGAGGUGAAACCACCUCAUUAAAGGAACAACUUGUUCAGUCGACACUGGCUUACAUAUUUGUUAGCGGGAGUCCAGGGGCCCUCAAGAUGCUUCAGCUAUGAAGUCACACCCGCAGCUUUUUCGAUUCUUCAGCAAUUGUGCAUUUCUUAAACUCUCCAUUAAGGGACGGUGCUACUGGGAUACUGGCUCCCUAAGGCUGUUAUAACACAUCCCCCAAACCAGGUGGCUCUAAACAAUAGGACUAUGUUCCCUCCCAGUUCUGAAGGCUGGAAGUCUGAGAGCAAGGUGGGCUGCACUCCCUCAGAAGGUUCUAGAAGAUACUCCUUCCUUGUCUCCUCCAGCCUCUGGUGGCUACAGGUGUUCCUUGGCUUCUGGGCGCAUCCCUGUACUCUGUGCCUCCAGCUUCAUGUGGACUCCCUCCUUCCGAGCCUCCCUCCUACAUGUUAUUGGUUUUAGGGUCCUCCUGCAUGAUCGAGGUGAGUCUCAUCUGGAGGUUCUUAAUUUAAUUACACUGGUCACUGGUGAUGACUCUUUUCCCGGAUAAGAUCACAUUCAUAGGUACUGGAGGUUAGGAGUUGGGCAUACCUUUUGGGGAUUACCAUUUGGCCUGCUGUGGAGUCCAAAGCUGGA
This is a long non-coding RNA of Suricata suricatta (meerkat), 2062 nucleotides long. RefSeq lists it as uncharacterized. The record is from RefSeq and is a predicted model, not a curated record. Lineage: Eukaryota; Metazoa; Chordata; Mammalia; Carnivora; Herpestidae. The transcript has 7 exons.